UACGGGGGGUGCGAGCGUUGUCCGGAAUCACUGGGCGUAAAGGGCGCGUAGGCGGCCUUGUCAGUCAGGCGUGAAAGCCCCGGGCUCAACCUGGGAACGGCGCUUGGGACGGCGAGGCUGGAGUUCGGGAGAGGAGAGUGGAAUUCCCAGUGUAGAGGUGAAAUUCGUAGAUAUUGGGAAGAACACCGGUGGCGAAGGCGGCUCUCUGGACCGACACUGACGCUGAGGCGCGAAAGCGUGGGGAGCAAACAGG
Molecule: ribosomal RNA, 253 nt
Filed under: uncultured bacterium
Lineage: Bacteria
Description: partial 16S ribosomal RNA
Rfam family: Bacterial small subunit ribosomal RNA
Source: RNAcentral